RNAcentral lists this ribosomal RNA (305 nucleotides) under uncultured bacterium. RNAcentral describes it as "bacterial SSU rRNA". It matches the Rfam family "Bacterial small subunit ribosomal RNA", at positions 335 to 638 of the family's 1533-position model. The record is from RNAcentral.
GGUCCUACGGGGCGCAGCAGUGAGGAAUAUUGGUCAAUGGCCGGAAGGCUGAACCAGCCAAGCCGCGUGAAGGACGAAGGUGCCAAGCAUUGUAAACUUCUUUUGUCAAGGGACAAAAUCAGGCUCGAGAGCCUGACCGAGGGUACUUGAAGAAAAAGCAUCGGCUAACUCCGUGCCAGCAGCCGCGGUAAUACGGAGGAUGCGAGCGUUAUCCGGAUUUAUUGGGUUUAAAGGGUGCGUAGGCGGGACGGUAAGUCAGCGGUAAAAAUGCGGAGCUCAACUCCGUCGAGCCGUUGAAACUGCCG